RNAcentral lists this long non-coding RNA (10684 nucleotides) under Vitis vinifera (wine grape). RNAcentral's name for it is "long non-coding RNA (VVIN_LNC006345)". Lineage: Eukaryota; Viridiplantae; Streptophyta; Magnoliopsida; Vitales; Vitaceae. The record is from RNAcentral.
GAAGUUCUAGACCUUGGGAAUAAUAAGAUAAAUGAUACAUUUCCCCAUUGGUUGGGAACUCUUCCAGAGUUGCAAGUUCUUGUUUUGCGCUCUAAUAGUUUCCAUGGUCAUAUAGGGUGUUCCAAAAUCAAAUCCCCAUUCAUGAGCCUAAGAAUCAUUGAUCUUGCUUACAAUGAUUUCGAGGGUGACUUGCCUGAAAUGUAUCUGAGAAGUUUGAAAGCGACAAUGAAUGUAGACGAAGGCAACAUGACAAGAAAAUAUAUGGGGGACAGUUAUUAUCAAGAUUCCGUAAUGGUGACAAUCAAGGGGUUGGAGAUUGAAUUUGUGAAAAUCUUGAAUACGUUCACAACAAUUGAUUUAUCAAGCAAUAAAUUCCAAGGAGAGAUUCCAAAGUCCAUUGGAAAUCUUAAUUCGCUUCGAGGGCUCAAUUUGUCUCAUAACAGCCUUGCAGGACAUAUCCCAUCAUCUUUCAAAAAUUUGAAGUUGCUUGAAUCAUUGGACCUCUCUUCAAACAAGCUCAUUGGGAGCAUUCCUCAAGAAUUAACAAGUUUGACAUUUCUUGAAGUUUUGAAUCUUUCUGAAAACCAUCUUACAGGAUUUAUACCUCGAGGAAAUCAGUUUGACACUUUUGGAAAUGAUUCAUACAGUGAGAACUCAGGGUUGUGUGGAUUUCCAUUGUCAAAGAAAUGCAUAACUGAUGAAGCAUCGGAAUCUUCAAAGGAAGCGGAUGAAGAGUUUGAUGGUGGAUUUGAUUGGAAAAUCACAUUGAUGGGAUAUGGAUGUGGAUUGGUUAUUGGGUUGUCUCUUGGGUGUCUCAUUUUCUUAACUGGGAAACCUAAACGGUUUGUCUGGUUUAUUGAAGAGAACAUUCACAAAAAGAUCAGAAGAUCUACAAGGAGCACUUGUAGGCAAGGAGCAAGAAGAAAUUAAUUCGUUCCACUCCCAUUUUAUUAUGUGUUGCAUAUAACAAAUGGCUUUUACAUUCUUAUGUUAGCAAAUAAUUUAUAUUGUCAUUAUACAAGUGCAAUCUUGUUUAUAAAGUUAAAAUAAUGUCUUUUUCCUUAUUAUUAUUAUUAUUAUUGUUUUGUGAUAAUGCAAUAGUCAUUCGUAUAGUAUUUUUCCAAUCAAUAUGGUAACUUAAAACUCAAAAAGCAAUUGUCAUAUCUUGGAAACCAUACACUAACAAAUAAGUAUUAAAGAGUUAGGAGACAUUUGGAUACAUUUCCAUUUUUUAUCAAAUAGGCGGUAACAUCAUAUGUUCUACUUUAGUUGCCCUUGAUCACUUUUUGGGAUGACAGUCAGUCUUCUCACCAUGGGUCUUCUCACCAAUAGGGAUCUAGAUGAGUGAGACCUCAAGUUCAAACCAAUAAAUGAUUCAAUUCCUCCAAUUGACAUGGUUCCAACUGAUCGAUUUGUUGUUCCUACCUUCCAAUCCCCAAUCAAUGUAAGGCAAAGUUAAGGAGUGCCUUUUUUCUCAAGCCAACACUCAAAUGUGAUAAUCCAUAGGAAAGAAAGGCUGAUUUUUCUAGUAUGCCUAAUCGUUAACCCUUCUCUCUCUUUCUUUAAUUAAAUCCUUUGGUUCCUUCUUUUAAAAAGAGUUGUCCUCCAUCCUCUUGUAAACAACCAUUUAGUCUUUUCAUUACAUCCCAAUUUAUUUAAAAACCUUAAUUAGGAAAAGAACAAGAAUCUUGUUUAUAUUUCAAUAUGUAUAGAAGAGAUUAUUUUCAACUAGUAUUUGUUUUUAUUAAAAACAUGCAUGGGAGCCAAUUUGUUCAUGGCCCAAGUUUAGGCCACAACAAGAUAGAAUCAGUGCUGCAACCUAAGGGCCGAAGCUAGCUUUAACUUAAGAUCCAUGAGUCAGAGCCCAAGCCCAAUUGGCAUUUUCUUUGGAAAUGUACAACAUUAGCCCCAUUAUUAUUAGUGAUGUAUGCCAAAUAUUUAAAUAAAUUUAAUACUUGUUAUAGAUAUUUAGGGAAAGAAACGUAACUAAAUUAUAUGAUUUAACAUUUUUCAAUCAAGUUGAUUUUAAUAAAUAAGGAUGUACAUCCACUCCAUGCACAAAAUCAAUAAAUAAAAAGGAGAAGAGGUCAACUAUAAAAGGUAAUAAUAAUAAUAAUAAUAAAUUGGUGCAUGAUAUUUGAAAAACCAGUUAAUGAAAAUGUUUAUCAUUAUAUUAUGCAAAGAAAAUUGCACCCAUUUUAAUUGGUAAAUAACUCUAUUUUUCUAAGCUAGCAAAAUUUUCUAUGGUAUAGUGGUGAAAUAAAAAAUGUUAAAAUGCUUAUUAUUCUCCUUAGAAGGUGUAGCAUAGGAUGGCAAUUUCAACCAAUAACUUUCUUGAAUUUUUUUUUUAAAUAUUAUUUUUUAUAUAACAUUACAAAGUAAUAUUAGUAUUUCUUGAAAAGGAAAAUUAAUAAUUAAAAAAAUUAAAAUUAAAUAUCAAAACUUAUAACCAUUUUGUUUUAUCAUGAAGUCUCAUUCUUCUUUUAAUAUAUAUGUAAAUAUUUAAAAUAUUUGUGAAUUACUAUAAUUGAAAAAUUAUUGUAUCUUAUAUUUCUUAUAUGAACAUCAUAGAAAAUUGUCCUUCUAAUCAAUUAGAUAAUCAAGUUAAUAUAAUUAUAGUAUUUUUAUCCUUGACUCAAUAGACAUCUCAACCAACGUCUCCAAUCUUAAAAACUUUUAAAUUGUGUUAGAAGAUAGGUUAUUAAGCUUUUUUCUUCUAAAAUAUAUUUUUUCUUCUAAAAAUAAAAUAAAAUUGUAUAUCAUUAUAUAGAAAUAUUUAUAUUUAACAAUUUAAAAUUUGAAAUUGAGUAGUCAAAACUCAUAAUUAUAAUAUUAGCAUUUUUUUUUCUAUAUUGAAGUUUGAUCCUUUUUCAAAAAAAAAAAUCUAUUUUUUUGAGUCAAUUAGUCAAUCAAAUUAAUAUAAUUAUUGUAUUUUUAUGGUGAGUCAAAGACAUCUCAAUCAAUAUUAAAAUCUUAAAGGAAAUGCUAUAAACCAUAUUAAUUAACAUCUAUAUUUUCUAAAAAAAAUUAUUAAUAAACAAUGAUAUUCUCAAUUUUUAAAUUUUAAACUAAGCUUAGAAAUUCAAGCACUCUUGGAUGGUAUAAAAUGAAUAUAAUAGGAACUUCAAAAUUAAAAAGCAUAUAUUAGUGUAGACACCCAUUUAGGAGGGUUCUCAAGGAGCCACGUGUCAAUCCAUGGUUGGCUGGUGGAGAAUCAGAUGAUGCUUUUUGAGGAGCUAAUAGAAGGUUGACACUUGUAAAGGGAGAUUCUAGAGGAGGUUUUGCCGUUAGGAGGAGCGUAUUCUAGCCAGCGGGGUAGUGGUGCUUUCAGGGGGUUUUGGAGAGAUAUUUUGAAAAAAAUAAAAGAGUUAGAGCUUGAGGAGCAAGCAAGCUGAGGGGUAGAGGACGGUUUUUCUCUGAGGUUGAGAGAGAGAGAGAUGGAUUUUUAUUUUUAUUUUUGGGAGGAGAUUCAUCUUUCUGGGGGGAGCAUUUUGCAGGUAAAGGUGAGGGACUACAGGAGAUAUUUUGAGAGAGAUUGUUUUUUUAGCUUGAGGGAGAAACUACAGAGGGGAGGUCUUCAAGCUGAGAGUGAGCGAGAGAGAGAGAGUUGUGUGUUUGGAGAGUAGAGGAUGAUAUGCUAUUUCAUUAGUUUCCUUGGUUUUGGAGGAGGAUUUGGGGCGUUUGAAGCUGAUCAGAACCUUACCGAAGAAGGGCACUCUUAGGUAUGAAUGCUACAAGCUUAUUGUUUGAUUUGGCAACUUAUCAUUCCUCUAUAUAUUCUGUCGGUUUUUGAAUGUUUAUUGAUUUGUUUGGGGUGGAUAAUGAAGUGGGCUUUGGUGGGGGGCCACAUAAGAGAAGUUUUAAAACAAAAAUAAGUUUGAGUGAAGUGCAGUGUGAUAUCUAAUGACUUCUUACUCUGUUUAGUGGCAUGUGUGAUAUACAUUGUGUUCAUUAUUGUGCACUAACCCCAUUUUUUGACAGCGUGUUAGUGCUUGCUGCUAAGGUACGCAUACACACUCACUUCGAUCAUUCUCUUUGUAUUGUUAUGAAUCUCGUGCGUGUAACACCAUUUUUGUAUCUCUUGAUCUAUUGGUUAAUUCUCAUACCUGCUUCAUUUUAUUAGUAAAGACCCGUUUUUAGGAACUUAGAGGGAUAUUAUGGUAUUUACCGUACCUUCCCAAUAAGUAACUUGAUUCUCGAGUCCAUAUUUGGUUUUUUUUUAUAGACUACCUUUUCCAAAUAAGGAGUCACACUUAGAGUUUUCUUUCUUAUUUUGUUUACCCUUUAAAAAUAAAACAAAAAUAAGCGGUGAGUCCAAGUUUUUUCUAAAAAUCAUUUUUUUACAAAUAAAUAAAAAAAACGAGUUUCGCUAUUGAGUGUGAAUACAUCGAGCUGAAAUGCAGGGUCCACAAUUACAUACCUACUAUGUUUCAUACAUGAUCUAAAAAAAUAUGAUAUGAUUAUAAUUAUUUGACUUUUGAUACAGAAAAAUUCAAAGUAUAUAUAUAUAUAUUUAGUUUUUUAUAUUAAAAUUAAAUAAAUAAUUGAAAAAAUAAAUGAAAAAUGUGGUUCUAUAAAUGAGCUUUCCUCUCUAAAUUUAAAUAUUUAAGAACGGACUAAAUAAUAAUUUGAUAAAUAGUUGUCUUCCUUCCAAAAUUAGAUUUUGCUUUCACUUUGUAGUGUUUCUAAAAUUGAAUUCUCAAGUGCUCAAUAAUUCUUCCCAUAACUUGUUGAAAAAUAUGUUGGAAGUGCAUCAUGAGCUAAUAAUGACUUUUUUUUUAAUUAUUUUUUUUUAAAAGAAACCAUUAUACACUAGUAUAUACAAAAACCAUGACUGAAAAAUGGAUAAGGUAUAGAAUUUAGUAGAUGAAAGGAAAAAUGAAUGAGAUAAUAAUGAUAAAUCAAAACAUAUAGGUUAUGUUUAGUUCCGAGAAAUUUAAGGAAAAACAUGAGAAAAAUAAAAUAAAAAGAAAAUGUGGAAGGAAAGAAAAAGUUACAACACUUACACAUGUAAAAUACAAGCAAAUCAUACUGGAAAUAAUAAUAAUAAUAAUAAUAAUAAUAAUAAAGUCUAAAAAGAAUAAGGUAGGAUACAAGAUAAUAACUUUCAAAUUUACAUAUAUAUAUAUAUAUAUAUAUAUAUAUAUAUUUAGUUUUAAGAAAACAAAAUCUUUUAGCUUUUCAUUCUACUUGUAUCAUCACUUUUUGUUUUUGUUAGUAAAGAAUCCAGUGAAUUUUUUUUGUCAUAGGGGACGGACCAUCAAAAUUGCUUUAAUGUAGAAAAAAAAAAUUAGAAAUAUUGUUUUCUAACAAAUGAUGCCGAUGGUUGACAUCUUACAUAUUCAAUUCUUAGAGAAGAUGUAUAUAGUAAAUACUUUCUCCUCGUUGCUAUUGGUUGACACUUUCUCAUAGUCCUUUUAGUUGUAUAAUUCAUAAAAACAUUAUUAUUCUUCUUUAACCUUAAAUAAUAUGUUACCUUUUGAAUUUUCAAUAUCCUACCUAGUCUUGCCCAUUGGAAACUCUUAACUUGCAAAUUUAGCUAUGGUUCAAGUCAUAGAAGCCUAGCUUUGUAUCAUUUUCUUUCUCAUCUGUUUUUUUUUCAUAAAAAUGUGCUCUUAGUAUUAGAGACUCUAAAUUUAAAUCGUCAAUGAUUAUUUAAAUAACAAUUUGAUAAAUAGUUGUCGUCCUUCUAAAUUUAUAUUUUUUUAAAAAUUGAAUUCUUGAGUAGUUGAUAUAUGAAAUCAAAUCAAUGGACAUUAAUUAUAUUUAGCCAAGACAUCACAGAAAGGUAAAUGAAAUUAACCCCCGUAUAAUUAGGUUAAAAUAAUAAUAAUUUCAUUGAAAAAAAAAAAGGACAAUACAUACCAAUACAUGGAAAAAAAACUUGUAAAAUCAAUAAGAUAUAGAAUUUGGUGGAUGAAAAGCAAAGUGCAUAAGAUAAAAAUGAUAAAUCAACAUAUAUGAAUUAGUUAGAGGAGAUGACUUCUAUGACUCAAGAGAGUCAUGCCUGAAUUUGCAAGUUAGGAGUUUCCAAUACGGCAGGAUCAUUUUCUUGUCUUCUCUAAUUCCACAAAACUAUGCCCUCAUGACUGGAGCCUUGUUGUGCUCCACCUUAAGAAGUCAUUAUCUAAUAUUGACAGGCUUUUGGAUCUCAUUAUUUCACCAAGUGUUGAUCACUACUUUUCUGGUCUGGGACCAUUUCUUCCUUACAUUCAAAGAUGCUUUUCCAAUAAGAAAGAAAAGAAAAUGAAGAACUCGAAGUUUUUGAAAAAAUUUAAAGAAAAAUAGAAAGAAAAGAAAAAAUAAAUAUAAAGUUAAUAAGUUAUUUUUUAUUUGGGUUUUUAAACUCAUUCUACUUAUUUUUUAUUUUCUAUAUAAAGAUAAAAUAAAAUAAAAUAUUUAAAUUUUAAUUAAUUAUAAUUAUAUAUGAUUUUUUUUUCAAAGUGAAAUCAAACAAUAAAAAAUCAUUUUCUUCACAAUUUUUUUCCUUCUUUAGUACUUUCUUGAUAAGAUUUGUAUCCAUAAAUGCUAAUUAAGAAAACAUAAAAAUUGUAAUGUAUAUAUCUUUCUUUUAUGUUGGUACAAACACAUUGAUGAAUAUGUUUUAGAGUGAUUCAAAUUAUGAUGCACCGUUUUUAUACAAGUUUUAGAUGAAAAUCCAAUAUGAUUAGUAUCAUUUAGUGUUUGAUAUGAUAGAAAAAAAAAUAUUUAUUUGAUAUUAAAAUUAAAUAAUUAAUUGAAAAAUUAAGUGCUAAUCGACAACACUAUCUAUAUAGUUUUCCCCUCCCAAUUUAAAUCUUCAAUAAUUAUUUAAAUAACAAUUUGAUAAAUAGUUGUCUUCCUUUUAGAGUUAUAUUUCACUUUCAAUUCUAGUAUUAUUAAAAUUGAAUUCUUCAAUAGUUAAUGUAUAAAAUCUUUCUUCUCAUAAUUUUUUUUGACAAUUUAUUGCAAGUUAGAAGAUAAAAUGAAGGUAGUUCUGGAGUUUAAUUUAUAACAAAAGGGGUUAAAUGCCUCUUGAGAAUUGAAUAAAAUUAGACUAUUAGGUUCUAUUAAGUCAACUAUUACAUAUUAAAAAAACUAAAUCAUUACUAUUAUAAUUUAGGCUUUUUCUCACUUUCAAUGGUGAAUUAAAAUAUUAUGCAUUGAGAUUCAAAUACAUCACCUCUCACCAAACGGGGUUUAAUACCAUAUUUAAUUACCAAAAUUCUUAAAAUCUUAAGCUUGUAAAUUAACAAAAUACAUUAAUUAGGGUACUCAGGAAUAAUUAAAAUAUUUAAUCUAAUUUUUCAUGGACUUUUAUGGUCUUAAGAGAAGGUUCUAGUAGGUUUACUCUUAAUGUAAUUGAUAGUGAAUCGUUAUCUUUACCGUAUAAAUAUAAUUUUUUUAUUUAAUUAAUUAUUUAGAAGACUUAAAAGAUAGUUUUGGAGGAUGAUUUAUGAUGUUUAUUAUUAUAAUAUAUAUUUUAGGAAGAAAAUAUUUUUGGCGUGUUGUAAACUCUUUGAUUAGUCAUAUAUAUUCUUUUCAUAGUGUUGUCACUUUCUUGACUCAUAGAAGUCAAAGUCAAGUGACAUGUCUCAUCGAAUCAUUUAUUUUGAACUACACUUCAUCUAAUCAAUUUGAAAAAUUAGCACCUCCUUAAUAUAUUUAUUAUAUAAUUGGGGGAGUUUGAGAAGUAGGUUAUGAUGGUCAUAAAGACUAUAACAUAAAUUAAGAUUAUGUUUAUUUAUAGGAUUAAAAAGUGAGAUAUAAUUUUAAAAUUAUAUAUUUGCAUAUUUGGAUAUAAAAAGGACAAGAUAAUGAUCUAAAUAAGUUACUGAUCUAACAUUUUUUAUUUUUAAUCUUUUAUGGAUGAGAUUUAAAAAUUGUCUUCCUUAAUAGACAUCAAUGAAUUUUUCAUAAAAAGAAAAGGUACUUGAACUAAGAUUUUUUUCCUUGAAUAAAGGAAUAAAGGAAAAACGUACAUACUAUUUUUUUUUUUUAAAAUUAAUACUUAAGGAAGAAUGCUUUUCAAUGAAACUUAAAAGUUUUUUAUUAAAGAAAAAAUUGCUUUUUUUUAAACCAAAAGGAAACAUAUCUUUUUGGUUACUCGGAUAAAUAUAGUGGUUAAAAAACCAAAUGUUUCAGUCUAGGUUUUUAUUCUACAAUGGAGUACUUCACUACAAUGAACUUCCCCUUUCAAUUUAAAGAUUUUUUUUGUUUAGAAAAAAAAAAAUUGCUUUUAUCUAAACCAAAAGGCAAACGUUUAAUGUGCUGGAAAUUGUUACAAGAAAAGUCUUCUUUGGGUUUCUCUAAGUUGGAAAUUUCCAAGAAGUUUUCAGGGUGAAUCAUUUGCAUAUAAAUUGGAGUGUACCCAUCUCCAUUUCUCUCAUCUCACCACUCUAUCUCAAUUGCUUUGGGAAGAAUGAUGUCUAAACUCCUCCUCUAUUUUCUUUUCUUCCUCUCGUCCUCUCAACUUCUUUCCACCUCUUUCUCUUUCUCUAAUUCCACCAAACUCUGCCCUGGUCACCAAUCUCGUGCUCUGCUCCACCUUAGGAAAUCGUUUUCCGUUAUUGAUAAUUCCAGUUUUUGGGGAUGCGAUUACUAUGGUGUCACUUCUUAUCCGAAAACAGAGUCUUGGAAGAAGGGUAGUGAUUGUUGCUCAUGGGAUGGGGUCACAUGUGAUAGGGUGACAGGCCAUGUAAUUGGGCUAGACCUCAGUUGCAGUUGGCUCUAUGGCACCAUCCAUUCCAAUAGUACCCUCUUUCUUUUUCCCCACCUGCGAAGGCUUAACCUUGCUUUCAAUGACUUUAAUGGGUCUUCUGUUUCCACUAGGUUUGGCCGCUUCUCAAGCUUGACCCAUCUCAACCUCUCUGAAUCUCUAUUUUCAGGCCUAAUUUCACCAGAAAUUUCUCACCUCGCCAACUUGGUUUCACUCGAUCUGUCUGGGAAUGGAGCAGAAUUUGCCCCGCAUGGCUUCAAUUCUCUACUUCUAAAUUUAACCAAGUUGCAGAAGCUUCACCUUGGAGGUAUAUCCAUCUCUUCAGUUUUUCCUAAUUCCUUGCUAAAUCAGUCUUCUUUGAUAUCAUUAGAUCUCUCUGACUGUGGAUUGCAUGGGAGUUUCCAUGAUCAUGACAUUCAUCUUCCAAAACUUGAGGUUCUCAACUUAUGGGGAAAUAAUGCUCUCAAUGGAAAUUUCCCACGAUUCAGUGAGAACAAUUCCCUUUUAGAGUUGGUUCUAGCUUCCACAAAUUUCAGUGGAGAGCUUCCUGCUUCAAUUGGGAAUUUAAAGUCUUUAAAGACUUUGGAUCUCUCUAUUUGCCAAUUCUUAGGGUCCAUCCCCACUUCCCUAGAGAACCUUAAACAAAUCACAUCCUUGAACCUUAUUGGGAAUCAUUUUAGUGGUAAAAUUCCAAAUAUUUUUAAUAACCUUAGAAAUUUAAUUUCACUAGGACUUUCUAACAACAAUUUUAGUGGUCAUUUUCCACCAUCUAUUGGAAAUCUAACAAACCUUUAUGAGUUAGACUUCUCCAAUAAUCAGCUAGAAGGAGUCAUUCAUUCUCAUGUGAAUGAGUUUUCAUUUUCAAGUCUAUCCUAUGUCAACUUAGGAUAUAACUUGUUCAACGGGACAAUACCAUCUUGGUUGUAUACUCUGUCAUCGUUGGUGGUGUUAGAUCUUAGUCAUAACAAACUCACUGGUCAUAUUGAUGAAUUCCAAUUUGAUUCAUUGGAGAAUAUUUAUUUGAAUAUGAAUGAGUUACAUGGGCCAAUUCCAAGUUCAAUAUUUAAGCUUGUAAACCUUAGAUAUCUUUAUCUUUCUUCAAAUAACUUGAGUGAGGUUUUGGAGACAAACAAGUUUGGAAACCUUAGAAAUCUUAUUGAGCUUGAUCUCUCAAACAACAUGCUUUUAUUGACAACCUCUGGCAAUUCCAACUCCAUUUUACCUAACAUUGAGUCGCUAGACCUUUCAAACAAUAAGAUUAGUGGAGUAUGGUCAUGGAACAUGGGAAAUGAUACACUAUGGUACUUGAAUCUCUCUUAUAACUCAAUAAGUGGGUUUAAGAUGCUUCCAUGGAAAAAUAUAGGUAUUCUAGAUCUUCAUUCCAACUUGCUGCAAGGACCACUUCCAACUCCUCCAAAUUCUACAUUUUUCUUUUCAGUCUCCCAUAACAAAUUGAGUGGAGAAAUCUCAUCGUUGAUUUGCAGAGCGAGUUCCAUGGAAAUUCUUGAUUUGUCUGACAACAAUUUGAGUGGCAGGCUUCCUCAUUGUUUGGGAAAUUUUAGUAAAUAUCUCUCAGUUUUGAAUUUACGAAGGAAUCGAUUUCAUGGCAACAUUCCUCAAACAUUUUUAAAGGGCAAUGCUAUCAGGGAUCUUGAUUUCAACGAUAAUCAAUUGGAUGGCCUAGUACCUCGAUCUUUGAUCAUUUGUAGAAAACUUGAAGUUCUAGACCUUGGGAAUAAUAAGAUAAAUGAUACAUUUCCCCAUUGGUUGGGAACUCUUUCAAAGUUGCAAGUUCUUGUUUUGCGCUCUAAUAGUUUCCAUGGUCAUAUAAGGCAUUCCAAGAUCAAAUCCCCAUUCAUGAGCCUAAGAAUCAUUGAUCUUGCUCACAAUGAUUUUGAGGGUGACUUGCCUGAAUUGUAUUUGAGAAGUUUGAAAGCAAUAAUGAAUGUAAAUGAAGGCAACAUGACAAGAAAAUAUAUGGGGAAC